CUCCAGGGCAGGCGGAAGCCACUCAGUCACCUGGGAGGUGAAGUCGUGCUGCUGCAGCUGCCGCCCCUCGCGCAGGUCCCAGGACCUGACUGUGUUGUCCAAACCACCCGUCCAGAGCUUGGUGCCAUCAUUAGAAAUGUCAAUACAGCUGGCUCCGUCUGUGUGGCCCUGGAAUUGCCUGAUAAAACAAACCAGAUUGAAUAAUGAUUUCCUGCCAGAGCUCAAGGGACCGGGCCCGGCUCAAUGACACUUCAUGGAUUUCUACAGCGGAGGUUUGAAGAGAGUGAGCUGUCAUGAUGACUUCUGGAGCCCGUCCCUUCUCUGUGCAGCAUGAGAGGGGACUUACCAAACAAGCCACAGACCCCAAACUGCACCAUCCGCAGGGACGGCUUCCCAGCAAAGAUGAAACAAGAGUAAAACAUGUACUCAUUUUACCUUUCAUGUUUCAUUCAUGCUUACUUUAAAAAGACUUUUUGAGAACAGCUCUGGUGUGAGCACUGACUUCUGAAGGGAGCAUUUGGCGGGGGAGCUGAGGAGAGACACAUGGGUACCAGAACUGCAGCUGCUGCUAAGGUGACAGGGCUGAUGCCAGAAGGCCAGGCAGAGCCCUGCGGGCUCCUGGGUGGAACCACCCCUGGGCAGGUCUAUUUCAUUAUUGAGAUACUUUAAAAUCAUUUUGUAGGCAAAAUUCACAGAAUCUCCUCUUCUCAUGUCCCUUUGUUGAUUUUCUGUUAUCUUUUAUCAGUUGGCUCUUGUCUGCACCAAGUUCUAGCCAAAGCCCAAAACAUCUAGUAUCAAGGGCCUUUUGUGCUGCCGUGUAAUCCACAUUAGGCCACCCCUUGGCAAAAGCCAGAAAUAUUUUUAGAACAAGUUUGGAGUCUGUAUGUGGGCUGAAGAAUUGGCACAUUAAGGAGAUAGAAAGUCUCGGGUGACACCAGGCAUAGUAAUAAGACUGUAAGCCCCCCAAAGGCAGCAACACAGUUGUCUUUGUUCCCUCAUCACCUAGCCCCAUGCCUGGCAUUCAAGAGGCUCUUAUUGUGUGGGCUGCAGGCAGCCAGAGAGAAGCAGAGGUGAUAGGCCCAGCUGCUAAAGAAGCGAACCCCUCCUUAGACGACCAUCUUUGCUCACCUCACUAGUGUCUGGUUGUGCAGAUCCCACACAGCGAUGUUGCCGUCGCUGCAGCAUGAGAAGCAGACCUUGGAAUCGG
This 1207-nucleotide long non-coding RNA is filed under the name Homo sapiens (human). Its description in RNAcentral is "HSALNT0150894". Lineage: Eukaryota; Metazoa; Chordata; Mammalia; Primates; Hominidae. The record is from RNAcentral.